CCUACGGGUGGCAGCAGUGAGGAAUAUUGGUCAAUGGGCGCGAGCCUGAACCAGCCAAGUCGCGUGAGGGAAGACGGUCCUAUGGAUUGUAAACCUCUUUUGCCGGGGAGCAAAAGACGCCACGCGUGGCGUUCCGAGAGUACCCGAAGAAAAAGCAUCGGCUAACUCCGUGCCAGCAGCCGCGGUAAUACGGAGGAUGCGAGCGUUAUCCGGAUUUAUUGGGUUUAAAGGGUGCGCAGGCGGAAGACGAAGUCAGCGGUAAAAUUGAGAGGCUCAACCUCUUCGAGCCGUUGAAACUGGUUAUCUUGAGUGAGCGAGAGGUAUGCGGAAUGCGUGGUGUAGCGGUGAGAUGCAUAGAUAUCACGCAGAACUCCGAUUGCGAAGGCAGCAUACCGGCGCUCAACUGACGCUCAUGCACGAAAGUGUGGGUAUCGAACAGGAUUAGAUACCCCUGUAGUC
This 459-nucleotide ribosomal RNA is filed under the name uncultured bacterium. Its description in RNAcentral is "partial 16S ribosomal RNA". It matches the Rfam family "Bacterial small subunit ribosomal RNA", at positions 338 to 795 of the family's 1533-position model. The record is from RNAcentral.